Nicotiana tabacum (common tobacco) is the source of this 1277-nucleotide long non-coding RNA. RefSeq lists it as uncharacterized. The record is from RefSeq and is a predicted model, not a curated record. Lineage: Eukaryota; Viridiplantae; Streptophyta; Magnoliopsida; Solanales; Solanaceae.
UCCCUACACACAGGGAACGGCGCAUUCCUUGCGUCUUCAACCUAAGAACAACAGAAGGGAACAAAAACAGGCCCCCUUUUGUUACACCCACCAAAAAGAAAACGACGAACCCCUACCAUUUUAGGCUUCUUCUUCACUUUCAUCUAGAGAUGAACAUCCCCAUUUUUCAAAACCUCAGUCAACCAUCAACCUGAAAGCAAAAAUCAGACUCUCAUUUUCAUUUCUUGGCUAAGAGCUUUCUCCGACAAAAGAUUUUGUUCUACCAGGUACAAAAUAAAUCAGACGCCAUGGAAAUCCAGAUCUAAAAAAAGUUAUUCGAAUUUCUACUCUUUCCUUCAAUUUUCUGGAAUUUGUGCUACUGAUCUACUGAACUUCUUCUUUGUUCUUUUGGUCUUUAUUUGACAUUUAAGCAAUAAGUGAUUUCCAGGCCCAAUGCGAAACCCAUCCAAACCUGCCCAAAUCUCAGCCCAAACUCGUACCCUAACCUGGUCUGCCCCACCCUAAAGCCAAAACGACGUCGUUUCAUCAGGCUUGAUCUGAGUCGUUGAUAGUUCCCAAUCCAACGGACAAGAACUAGUUUCCAAAACCCUACCCGCCGCCAUAUUUUCCACCACACCCACCGGCGGCGCCGACCCCUUUUCCCACCAAAUCAACACUAAAUGACCACCAUGACCUCCUCAUCCCAUAUACCCAACCCACUACCCUCGGAUCCUAAUGAGACUCUUCGAAUAUUAAAUCACAAGUUGAGCCUUAAAAGUCAAAAUCGAGAUUCUGCGGACGAUGUUGGUCCAAAAUGAUUUUAUUCACUUGUUCUCUAUGAGAACAUGCGAUUAAUAUCAGAUUGGACCAGGAAUCCAAAGAGUUGAAGAUUUGAGUUGCCUUUUUCUUGGUCCGAGUUGGAGAAGGUACAUGUCCUGAAACUCAUAUAACUUGAUGCUCAAGUUGAAGAAAAAUGGAAAUGGGAAUUUGAAGCAAUCACAUCAUUGUUUUGUUCAUAACUUAGUCUUAUUCUCCUUUCUUCUUCCUUGUCUCUGAAGCGUUGUUACUGAUUUCAUGAAAAUCUUUAGACGUUGUAGAAUAGUUUAAUUUCGCUUUCAUCAUAGUUAUUCUUUUGUUUAUGUUUUAGGUCUGGUUUGUAAUAUUAGUAAGCUGUGAUGUGAAUCAUGAUUCUCUAAUUAAGGUUUUCUAGGAUUUUUAGCUUCUGAAGUGUAAAUGAAUAACAAUACGCAUGUGGCUAACUUAUAAUGACCUGGGAAUGGGGUUUCAGUCAAUUUCAA